Molecule: long non-coding RNA, 1520 nt
Filed under: Coffea arabica (coffee)
Lineage: Eukaryota; Viridiplantae; Streptophyta; Magnoliopsida; Gentianales; Rubiaceae
Description: long non-coding RNA (CARA_LNC007006)
Source: RNAcentral
UUUUUUUUUUUUUUUUUUUUAAAUAUAUGUGGUGUUACAUGAGCUAAUCUUCCCAUUAUUUUGCCAAAAAAUAAAAAGAAAAAGCAAAAACAUAUAAACUCCUUGGGUAUCUUACUACCCUUCAGACGGACAUUUGUACUCCGGAAAAUGCUCAGUAGGUAAUUAAAUGAUCUGUUGUCUUAAACCAGUCAACUGCCCUUAACUAGUUAGUUGCGGCUGUAGGAGUUAACCAUAGGUAUCCUUACAAGUUACAAUAUCCCCACCUCCCCGCCGCCCAUUGCAUGUUUCCCAUCUCUCGAAUUCUUGGAAAGCAUUUGAGGUGAUCGAUCACACAAUUCAGUUGGCAAACUAUUAGUUGAAUUCAUUAAAUGGUGCCGGUGCCAUGCAGAAUUAAAAUUCUAGGCAUACAUUUCCAGCAGUCAGGUCCACAGAACUAAUUUUUCUCACUACUUGGGCCAAGGUGAUUGACAGAUGAGAUGAAGCUGAAGGUCAUUUCACAAGCAAUGGACAUGGUUCAGAUUUUAUAACAUAGAUUAUGAUGUAAAUCAAUCCUUUUUUUUUUUUUUUAGUGUUACAAUUAACCUCAACUUCAAAAAUAAUAAAGAAGAUACUGUGCUAUUACUGUGGCCAAAUCCGCCAUCAUGAAUUACAGCAAGCCCCUAAUAAUAAGAACCCAAAAAAAAAGUAUUUUUUUUUAAGAUUCAAUUUUUGUACCAUUUAUGUCAAGAGAACACAAAAGUAUACCUUGUUUGUCUUAUUCUCAUCAGUUUAUUAGACUACCAUUUUACUAACCAUUGAUUAUAUAUAAAACAAGGAAUAAUGGUUGCCUAAGUUAGCAGACAAGAUUUGGAUAACAGAAUCCAUGGGAAGACGAACAAAACCAUCCACUAAAAGAUACUCCAAGAGAAGGGGUUAAAUCUAACGCUUUGCAGUGAGCGAAAAAUUGACCUGGGAGGCGUGCUUAUAAGUCGUGUGGCCUGAGGACAGACCGGAAACUGGGACAUGCUCCGACAGGAAGGGGCUUCAAGCAAGUUCCACAAUCUUGCUUACACAAAACUACUUGCAUUUUGCUUAUUUGCUCCUACAAAGAAUUGGCGUUGACACAUAGCUCAAACUCUUUAUAUUUUACUCAGGUCAACCUCAAAAUAUUGAGUAAGUAUCCAUUUAAACAAUCAUUUGCACUCGUUAACAAACAUUAUGAUGCAUCUAUCACCCAAUAAUCGUCUCGCAUUUUGGUCGUGAUUCAAUUGAACGAAGGCAAACGUGUCAACCGUCAGUAGGAACCAUCAUGGUUUACACUUCAUUCAGCUAUGUAAUUAUUAUUUAUGAAUGAAUGAUACAAGUACUCCUGUCCUCGACAACCUCUCCAUCUACCUUCUUUUUUAAAAUAAAUAAAUAAAUAAAGUGAGAGGUCUUGAUUCUAGACACUCCAUUUCCAGCCUACUACCAGUGCUCCAUUUCCACCCUGCACGACGAAUAUGGACCUUUUGGAAUUAACGAGUAACCAAACCCAAGUGUCA